Molecule: small nucleolar RNA, 106 nt
Organism: Cephalotus follicularis
Lineage: Eukaryota; Viridiplantae; Streptophyta; Magnoliopsida; Oxalidales; Cephalotaceae
Rfam family: Plant small nucleolar RNA R71
About the family: R71 is a member of the C/D box family of snoRNAs containing the C (UGAUGA) and D (CUGA) box motifs. Multiple nearly identical copies of this snoRNA have been identified in Arabidopsis, and it is thought to function as a 2'-O-ribose methylation guide for 18S ribosomal RNA.
Source: Rfam
ACGGCAUGAUGGGGACAUUUUCGAAUGAGAUCCUUUAAUCUUUCCCAUGACUCAUGGAGCCGCUCACCAUCUUGUUGCGAAAACCUAGUGAGAGCUUGUCUUAUCU